UUUCCGCCGUUCCCUCCUAUCUUACCAUAACAAAAAGUCCUCCCCCCGCCUCCUUCAUCACUCUCACUUUUUCUGUGCUUUUCUCUCUCUCUCUCUCUCGAAAUAGAGUAGGUAGGAAAAAAAGGGUCUCAAAAUGAAACCAAAAGACGGAUUUUUUAAAGGUCCCUAUAAGGGGUUUCUCAUGAUGCAUGUGAGUAGUAGCAGCAGGAGCAAGGUGAGCCUGGUCAACUACCCUUUGGAAAUUGGGAGGUGUGACCAAAAAGAAGCCAUUAGUGGCUCUGAAAUUGGAGCUGACAAUUCUCCUGGAGCAGCAGCAGGUUCAUUCUAAUCGGGUGCUAUCCUAUCUGAGCUUUUUACCUUCUCUCUUCACCUUCAUCUAAUUUCUACCACACUUGUUUCUUUUUCCUUAGAGUCUUCUUGACCUUGUAAGACCUUUUCUUGACCUUGUAAGACCUUUUCUUGGCCUUGUAAGACCUCACACCCUAUCUCUUUUCUUUCUUUUUGCUUUUGUGGAAGACCCUAUAUCAGAAUCCACUGAUAUAGAGUUUCAUCUCCUUCUUUCCCCGUUACCACCCAACUCAUCUUCUCCUUCCUUGUCUAUCCCUCCUGAGCUGUUCCAGUUUUGGCCAACCAUGUAACAUUUAAUUAACAUUGAGUGUGUUUGGAUGAAGUUUAAAAUAGCUUUUCAGAGUUUCUCUACCAAAACAAAUUUCUUUGUUUUAGGUAAAGAAGUUUUCAAAAGGUCUUUUAAACAUGUAUCCAAACAUGUUCACUAUGAUAUGUUAUGCUAUGGAUUCAAAGAAAUUAAGGACCUUACCUUACGUUGCCUUCAAAUGUGCUAGCUAUUUGGAGACCAUGGAUUCCAAAAGUACUAACAAUUGUGGUAUAUUAUUUUGUUGUAUUUUUGUUUGAGAGAAAUCAAUGUAGUUUGUGCAGCAGCUAGCAUGCUUGGUCGUGGUCCUUAAGGUAAGUUGUGAAGAGUGGCCAUAGUUAAUAAAUCAAUGUUGCUUGUAUUGAGAGGAAUUGAAAAGCCAUAUGUAUGAUAUUCUGUUUACACAAUCAAUUUGGCUUGUAUCAUUGUGCGCAGAAUAUUUAUGCUGUUGCAGACAUCUGUUUCGUUGUUUUAUAUGUUGUUUGGCUGAGAAAGUGUGCAUAUUCUUUUAGAUCUAAGCUAGAGUCUUCCUCGUGACUGUUCCAAUGUACUAAUAACCACUGUAUUAUUGGAGUUAUCUCUUUCUCUCUCUGAGAAAUUCAGAAGCUUUGUGCCCAUUUCUUUUCUUUUUAAAAAAGCUGAAAAUAAUAUCCACUGCUCAGCCAGCCUCAUAUAAUAUAAUAAACAGCAAUCUCCCCAUGUUUGUUUCGCCGGUGGACAGGGAAUGAUGGAAAAUAAUGGGGUAAUGCACCUUUGUUUGUGUUGCACUAUAAUGUUUUGCUUUUAUAAGAUAUUUGUUAUGUUUUAAAGGUUUAAGUGUGUGUUUGUUUGGUUUGUAGUUAUAAUUUUUAAGACACCUCAGCGGAAAAGUUUGUGUCUUGUUGCUUUGGGUCACACUAAGGUUUUUACACUUCAAACGUAAAACCAAACACACAUUAAGUUGUCAAGCUUGUGUUGUUACAUGUGAGAAUUAUUUUUUGUCAUUACUAAUGUUGUCUUGUGAAGCAUUGGGACCAUUAUGAGCAUGUGUGGGAAAGAUUCUUUCCCAACAUUUCAACCGUAUACUUGGAACAACUGAAAUUUGUAAAAUGUUUUGAUUUCCUGAAAUAUAAAUGUUUACAGCGUAUUUGAAAAUUUGAAAACUAGUUUAUGUUUCCACGAUUUUAUUUUUCUUCUAAAGCUGAUUUGGUAGGUUAAAGUUUUAUUUUGUUGUCUUCAAAUGAAAUUAAACAUUUCAAAAUAAUUUUUUAGCAUACUUAUACAAACAAAAAUUCAGUAUGAUGAUAAUCGUGAUUAUUGAAAAAAAAAUUGAUUUUCGUAGUUGUUCCAAACAUGCUCCUAGGUGGAGAAGUGGGGGGUUAGUUUAUUUUUUCUGAGGCCUUGUUUCUUUGAAUAACUCUCAAGUCAUCUUCGUAAUAAGAACCUUUGCUAAGUGUGUUAUAAGGGAUGGAAAUAGAGGGAUUAGAGUUGCUUUGAUGCUUUUGAUUUAUAUUUGUUGUUUCAAAUUUUGGAUUUGAAUUUGAAUUAUUCUUCAGUUUCUAAAUACUAGUAACAUAAUUAGGAUUUUCAGAGGAAAUCUCUUUAGGAAGCUAUGGGACAAUUGAAGGGACAGUCAUUUAAAGGAUAUGUUGCGAGAGCAAAUGUAGAAGGGAGGAAGUGGGGGCAGUCCUCCAGGAGGAUGACGUGGUAGUGGUGGCGGGGGAAGCACCAGUGGGUCAGAUGGGAUGUCAGAUGAAACUCUUCAAAUUGUUUUAGCAACAGUUAGCAUUAUAUUGAUGUAUACUUUUGUCAUCGAUGGGUUAAAACUUAUAAAGCUAGCUAGGAACUGCAUCAAGUUUGUGUCUGGUAAAGGCCAGAGUGUUCAAUUGAAGCGAGCCACAUACAAAUGGGUAAGAUUAUACAAUAGUAUCAUUGUCAAGAAUGGAUUGGAGAAAGCAUCCACAUGUUGAUUCCACCCUGAUUUCUUCCGAGGUCUCCUUAGGCGGCAUUACAUUAAAUCAAAUCCACAAGAAUAAUUUUUUCUAUGUACCUAUUCAUAUAAACAGAUAGUUGGGGCAAAAAAUGCAUUCAAUAUCAAUUUUUUUGGCAUACAUGUUGCUAAAUUUUCACCAUUUCAAAAUGCUAAAGAAUCUAAAGUUCAAUGUGAAUUCAAGAGUCUAAAGAGUUUUACAAUGAGUGACUAGGGUUGGUGGUACUUAUCUAUCGAGACUACAUUCCUGUCUUUUAGUGGAUAGUGUCAUGGUUCUAAAUUGCAGUUGUGGGCAUUGUGGUUAUGUAUUUUGAUGUUACACUAUUGUAUGAUUUUACUGAACAUAAAAGAGGAUAUUCAUAUAAUAAUGAAAAUUAA
Non-coding RNA from Cajanus cajan (pigeon pea), 2999 nucleotides. The record is from RefSeq and is a predicted model, not a curated record. NCBI's taxonomy places the organism in Eukaryota, Viridiplantae, Streptophyta, Magnoliopsida, Fabales, Fabaceae.